Molecule: long non-coding RNA, 545 nt
Organism: Hypanus sabinus (Atlantic stingray)
Lineage: Eukaryota; Metazoa; Chordata; Chondrichthyes; Myliobatiformes; Dasyatidae
Exons: 3
Source: RefSeq, a predicted model, not a curated record
GUCUCUCUCCGAUCACUUCCGACCGAGACUAGAAGACCUUUGGGAACAAGUGGAACAGGAACCGGUGCCGAUAUCGUCUAAAUGUCCAUGAGUUGCAUUCACACGUUGAAUCGAGGAUAACCCCGAAUUAACUUCUGGUCCUCGGCCAGACCAACUGUCUCAAGCGUGGUUACACAUUCAACAAGAAUCUCUCUGUACCCGAAAGCAAAUUCUGCCAACUGUUGACCAGCAGGGUAGAUAUUCGUCUCUCUCCGAUCACUUCCGACCGAGACAAGAAGACCUUUGGGGACAAGUGGAACAGAAACCGGUGCCGAUAUCGUCUAAAUGUCCAUGAGUUGCAUUCACACGUUGAAUCGAGGAUAACCCCGAAUUAACUUCUGGUCCUCGGCCAGACCAACUGUCUCAAGCGUGGUUACACAUUCAACAAGAAUCUCUCUGUACCCGAAAGCAAAUUCUGCCAACUGUUGACCAGCAGGAUAGAUAUUCGUCUCUCUCCUCUCACAUCCGACCGAGACUAGAAGACAUUUGGGAAAAAGAAGUACAGG